RNAcentral lists this ribosomal RNA (253 nucleotides) under uncultured bacterium. RNAcentral describes it as "partial 16S ribosomal RNA". It matches the Rfam family "Bacterial small subunit ribosomal RNA", at positions 524 to 776 of the family's 1533-position model. The record is from RNAcentral.
GACGUAGGGCGCAAGCGUUAUCCGGAAUUAUUGGGCGUAAAGAGCUCGUAGGCGGUUUGUCGCGUCUGCCGUGAAAGUCCGGGGCUCAACUCCGGAUCUGCGGUGGGUACGGGCAGACUAGAGUGAUGUAGGGGAGACUGGAAUUCCUGGUGUAGCGGUGAAAUGCGCAGAUAUCAGGAGGAACACCGAUGGCGAAGGCAGGUCUCUGGGCAUUAACUGACGCUGAGGAGCGAAAGCAUGGGGAGCGAACAGG